Molecule: ribosomal RNA, 576 nt
Filed under: uncultured Vibrio sp.
Lineage: Bacteria; Pseudomonadati; Pseudomonadota; Gammaproteobacteria; Vibrionales; Vibrionaceae
Description: bacterial SSU rRNA
Rfam family: Bacterial small subunit ribosomal RNA
Source: RNAcentral
GCUAAUACCGCAUAACGCCUACGGGCCAAAGAGGGGGACCUUCGGGCCUCUCGCGUCAAGAUAUGCCUAGGUGGGAUUAGCUAGUUGGUGAGGUAAUGGCUCACCAAGGCGACGAUCCCUAGCUGGUCUGAGAGGAUGAUCAGCCACACUGGAACUGAGACACGGUCCAGACUCCUACGGGAGGCAGCAGUGGGGAAUAUUGCACAAUGGGCGAAAGCCUGAUGCAGCCAUGCCGCGUGUAUGAAGAAGGCCUUCGGGUUGUAAAGUACUUUCAGUUGUGAGGAAGGGUGUGCAGUUAAUAGCUGCGCAUCUUGACGUUAGCAACAGAAGAAGCACCGGCUAACUCCGUGCCAGCAGCCGCGGUAAUACGGAGGGUGCGAGCGUUAAUCGGAAUUACUGGGCGUAAAGCGCAUGCAGGUGGUUCAUUAAGUCAGAUGUGAAAGCCCGGGGCUCAACCUCGGAACUGCAUUUGAAACUGGUGAACUAGAGUACUGUAGAGGGGGGUAGAAUUUCAGGUGUAGCGGUGAAAUGCGUAGAGAUCUGAAGGAAUACCAGUGGCGAAGGCGGCCCCCUGGA